Molecule: ribosomal RNA, 2927 nt
Filed under: Salmonella enterica subsp. enterica serovar Bareilly str. CFSAN000194
Lineage: Bacteria; Pseudomonadati; Pseudomonadota; Gammaproteobacteria; Enterobacterales; Enterobacteriaceae
Also listed under: 1 other name
Description: bacterial LSU rRNA
Rfam family: Bacterial large subunit ribosomal RNA
Source: RNAcentral
GGGUUGUGAGGUUAAGCGACUAAGCGUACACGGUGGAUGCCCUGGCAGUCAGAGGCGAUGAAGGGCGUGCUAAUCUGCGAUAAGCGCCGGUAAGGUGAUAUGAACCGUUAUAACCGGCGAUACCCGAAUGGGGAAACCCAGUGUGAUUCGUCACACUAUCAUUAACUGAAUCCAUAGGUUAAUGAGGCGAACCGGGGGAACUGAAACAUCUAAGUACCCCGAGGAAAAGAAAUCAACCGAGAUUCCCCCAGUAGCGGCGAGCGAACGGGGAGGAGCCCAGAGCCUGAAUCAGCAUGUGUGUUAGUGGAAGCGUCUGGAAAGGCGCGCGAUACAGGGUGACAGCCCCGUACACAAAAGCGCAUGUGCUGUGAGCUCGAUGAGUAGGGCGGGACACGUGGUAUCCUGUCUGAAUAUGGGGGGACCAUCCUCCAAGGCUAAAUACUCCUGACUGACCGAUAGUGAACCAGUACCGUGAGGGAAAGGCGAAAAGAACCCCGGCGAGGGGAGUGAAAAAGAACCUGAAACCGUGUACGUACAAGCAGUGGGAGCACAGGUUUACCUGUGUGACUGCGUACCUUUUGUAUAAUGGGUCAGCGACUUAUAUUCUGUAGCAAGGUUAACCGUAUAGGGGAGCCGGAGGGAAACCGAGUCUUAACCGGGCGUUAAGUUGCAGGGUAUAGACCCGAAACCCGGUGAUCUAGCCAUGGGCAGGUUGAAGGUUGGGUAACACUAACUGGAGGACCGAACCGACUAAUGUUGAAAAAUUAGCGGAUGACCUGUGGCUGGGGGUGAAAGGCCAAUCAAACCGGGAGAUAGCUGGUUCUCCCCGAAAGCUAUUUAGGUAGCGCCUCGUGAAUUCAUCUCCGGGGGUAGAGCACUGUUUCGGCUAGGGGGCCAUCCCGGCUUACCAACCCGAUGCAAACUGCGAAUACCGGAGAAUGUUAUCACGGGAGACACACGGCGGGUGCUAACGUCCGUCGUGAAGAGGGAAACAACCCAGACCGCCAGCUAAGGUCCCAAAGUCAUGGUUAAGUGGGAAACGAUGUGGGAAGGCCCAGACAGCCAGGAUGUUGGCUUAGAAGCAGCCAUCAUUUAAAGAAAGCGUAAUAGCUCACUGGUCGAGUCGGCCUGCGCGGAAGAUGUAACGGGGCUAAACCAUGCACCGAAGCUGCGGCAGCGACGUUUAUGCGUUGUUGGGUAGGGGAGCGUUCUGUAAGCCUGCGAAGGUGGCCUGUGAGGGUUGCUGGAGGUAUCAGAAGUGCGAAUGCUGACAUAAGUAACGAUAAAGCGGGUGAAAAGCCCGCUCGCCGGAAGACCAAGGGUUCCUGUCCAACGUUAAUCGGGGCAGGGUGAGUCGACCCCUAAGGCGAGGCCGAAAGGCGUAGUCGAUGGGAAACGGGUUAAUAUUCCCGUACUUGGUGUUACUGCGAAGGGGGGACGGAGAAGGCUAUGUUGGCCGGGCGACGGUUGUCCCGGUUUAAGCGUGUAGGCUGGUUUUCCAGGCAAAUCCGGAAAAUCAAGGCUGAGGCGUGACGACGAGGCACUACGGUGCUGAAGCAACAAAUGCCCUGCUUCCAGGAAAAGCCUCUAAGCAUCAGGUAACAUCAAAUCGUACCCCAAACCGACACAGGUGGUCAGGUAGAGAAUACCAAGGCGCUUGAGAGAACUCGGGUGAAGGAACUAGGCAAAAUGGUGCCGUAACUUCGGGAGAAGGCACGCUGACACGUAGGUGAAGUGAUUUACUCAUGGAGCUGAAGUCAGUCGAAGAUACCAGCUGGCUGCAACUGUUUAUUAAAAACACAGCACUGUGCAAACACGAAAGUGGACGUAUACGGUGUGACGCCUGCCCGGUGCCGGAAGGUUAAUUGAUGGGGUCAGCGCAAGCGAAGCUCCUGAUCGAAGCCCCGGUAAACGGCGGCCGUAACUAUAACGGUCCUAAGGUAGCGAAAUUCCUUGUCGGGUAAGUUCCGACCUGCACGAAUGGCGUAAUGAUGGCCAGGCUGUCUCCACCCGAGACUCAGUGAAAUUGAACUCGCUGUGAAGAUGCAGUGUACCCGCGGCAAGACGGAAAGACCCCGUGAACCUUUACUAUAGCUUGACACUGAACAUUGAGCCUUGAUGUGUAGGAUAGGUGGGAGGCUUUGAAGUGUGGACGCCAGUCUGCAUGGAGCCGACCUUGAAAUACCACCCUUUAAUGUUUGAUGUUCUAACGUGGACCCGUAAUCCGGGUUGCGGACAGUGUCUGGUGGGUAGUUUGACUGGGGCGGUCUCCUCCUAAAGAGUAACGGAGGAGCACGAAGGUUGGCUAAUCCUGGUCGGACAUCAGGAGGUUAGUGCAAUGGCAUAAGCCAGCUUGACUGCGAGCGUGACGGCGCGAGCAGGUGCGAAAGCAGGUCAUAGUGAUCCGGUGGUUCUGAAUGGAAGGGCCAUCGCUCAACGGAUAAAAGGUACUCCGGGGAUAACAGGCUGAUACCGCCCAAGAGUUCAUAUCGACGGCGGUGUUUGGCACCUCGAUGUCGGCUCAUCACAUCCUGGGGCUGAAGUAGGUCCCAAGGGUAUGGCUGUUCGCCAUUUAAAGUGGUACGCGAGCUGGGUUUAGAACGUCGUGAGACAGUUCGGUCCCUAUCUGCCGUGGGCGCUGGAGAACUGAGGGGGGCUGCUCCUAGUACGAGAGGACCGGAGUGGACGCAUCACUGGUGUUCGGGUUGUCAUGCCAAUGGCACUGCCCGGUAGCUAAAUGCGGAAGAGAUAAGUGCUGAAAGCAUCUAAGCACGAAACUUGCCCCGAGAUGAGUUCUCCCUGAGACUUAAAGUCUCCUGAAGGAACGUUGAAGACGACGACGUUGAUAGGCCGGGUGUGUAAGCGCAGCGAUGCGUUGAGCUAACCGGUACUAAUGAACCGUGAGGCUUAACCUUACAACGCCGAAG